UUCCAGACUCCUACGGGAGGCAGCAGUGGGGAAUAUUGCACAAUGGGGGAAACCCUGAUGCAGCGACGCCGCGUGAGCGAAGAAGUACCUCGGUAUGUAAAGCUCUAUCAGCAGGGAGGAAAAUGACGGUACCUGAAGAAGAAGCCCCGGCUAACUACGUGCCAGCAGCCGCGGUAAUACGUAGGGGGCAAGCGUUAUCCGGAUUUACUGGGUGUAAAGGGGGCGCAGACGGCGAUGCAAGCCAGGAGUGAAAGCCCGGGGCCCAACCCCGGGACUGCUCUUGGAACUGCGUGGCUGGAGUGCAGGAGGGGCAGGCGGAAUUCCUGGUGUAGCGGUGAAAUGCGUAGAUAUCAGGAGGAACACCGGUGGCGAAGGCGGCCUGCUGGACUGCAACUGACGUUGAGGCCCGAAAGCGUGGGGAGCAAACAGGAUUAGAUACCCCAGUAC
This 447-nucleotide ribosomal RNA is filed under the name uncultured bacterium. RNAcentral describes it as "partial 16S ribosomal RNA". It matches the Rfam family "Bacterial small subunit ribosomal RNA", at positions 329 to 793 of the family's 1533-position model. The record is from RNAcentral.